UUUCCGUAGGUGAACCUGCGGAAGGAUCAUUAUAAAUGAAAAACGAAUAACUUCAGGGAAGAAGGGAACCUGCACGGUGACCUCCCCUGUCGGGCCACCCAAUACCUUCAAAAUGCCGCCGUCCUAGCGGUGGCAGACGAAAAAAAAACAAGAAAAACAAAAUAGAAACAGGCACGGUGGCCCGUUCACCUUCACACAGCCCUCCGAGUACCGCUUCCAUGUUGCUUCCCCGCAAAUCCACCUCUUUGGUGAGCGCGGGGGAGGUCCGCAUCAAAUUCACCUGAAUGUCACAGCAGUCAGACAGCCAUUCAUGGAAACAAUAAAACUUUCAACAACGGAUCUCUUGGUUCCC
Molecule: unclassified non-coding RNA, 352 nt
Filed under: plant metagenome
Description: partial contains small subunit ribosomal RNA, internal transcribed spacer 1, and 5.8S ribosomal RNA
Source: RNAcentral